Molecule: ribosomal RNA, 604 nt
Filed under: uncultured bacterium
Lineage: Bacteria
Description: bacterial SSU rRNA
Rfam family: Bacterial small subunit ribosomal RNA
Source: RNAcentral
CCUACGGGAGGCAGCAGUGGGGAAUCUUGCGCAAUGGGCGAAAGCCUGACGCAGCAACGCCGCGUGCGGGAAGAAGGCUUUCGGGCUGUAAACCGCUUUCAGCAGGAACGAAAAUGACGGUACCUGCAGAAGAAGGAGCGGCCAACUAUGUGCCAGCAGCCGCGGUGAUACAUAGGCUUCAAGCGUUGUCCGGAUUUAUUGGGCGUAAAGAGUUCGUAGGCGGUCGAGUAAGUCGGGUGUGAAAAUUCUGGGCUCAACCCAGAGACGCCACCCGAUACUGCUUGACUUGAGUUCGAUAGGGGAGUGGGGAAUUCCUAGUGUAGCGGUGAAAUGCGCAGAUAUUAGGAGGAACACCGGUGGCGAAGGCGCCACUCUGGAUCGAUACUGACGCUGAGGAACGAAAGCAUGGGUAGCAAACAGGAUUAGAUACCCUGGUAGUCCAUGCCGUAAACGGUGGGCACUAGGUGUGGGUUUCUAUUAACGAAAUCCGCGCCGUCGCUAACGCAUUAAGUGCCCCGCCUGGGGGAGGUACGGUCGCACGAACUAAACUACAAAGAAGUAGACGGCGNGAGACGUGCCGAACGGACGACGACGAGGGAGUAGG